This is a non-coding RNA of Cyanistes caeruleus (blue tit), 1207 nucleotides long. Lineage: Eukaryota; Metazoa; Chordata; Aves; Passeriformes; Paridae. The record is from RefSeq and is a predicted model, not a curated record.
GGGAGGGAUCGCCAGGACCGAGCGGAACCGGGUUGGGAUGAGAUGGGACGGGACCGGACAGGAUUGCGGCCGCUGCCGGACCCGGCGGCCGAGCGGCGGCACUCGGCCAGGCCCGGCGGCUGAGGGGCGGCACUUGGCCAGGCCCGGCCGCACCUGUCGCCUCCGCCGCUUUGAGGGUUAUUAAUUCACAGACGCAGCAACUGUGAUUUAAGCCUUUAAGUCACUGAAAAGACUGCGGAUAUUUAAUACAGCUAAAUAACUUUUUACUCAUUUUUUGCUGAUUGGGUGCUUUCAGGAAUUCCCGCGGCCUGAGGGUUGGUCCUGCCACCCUGGCUGCACCGCACAACACGGCUACAGCUCCUCGAAAGCUUAUUUAUCACAGAAGAGCUGUGUGGGAUCCGUAACUCAGGAACAUUAUUGGUAAUUUUAUUGGGAAGAUGAAACUGCCAAGUGUCAAAACCUCACAGUCCCUGAAGCCGUGUCACAACAUGAAGCAGGGAGUGUGUUGUUAUUUUUUAUGAUGCUUACUACUUGGCCCUUUCCUAGUUGAUAGAGCACCUUUUCCUGAGCAAGUUGUAAUCACACACCAUCACUGCGGGUGGGAUACCAAUGAUAUCAAACUAUAUCACUGAUUUAUCAAACAUAUCUGCAGUCUUUGUGUUGUCUCUUAUUGAGAGGCCAGUUAGUCAGGCUUCACAGCAUCAAUGAGAGGUUUCACGCUGGACCUGCGCAGGCACCUCAGCCAUGAAUGAACGCUGGCCUCCGUGUCUUCCCAGUAUCAUCACAUUAGAAACACUAAUCAGCAGCUUUCUGACAGCCCCCACACUUUCAGAUAAACCACAUUUCUCUGUUUUGUAGAAUCAAGAAGUCUCAAGUAACCUUUCAAGCAAAGAUUAAGCUGGAGACUACUAUUCUCAUGCUCAGGAGCUUGAUAUCAUUAUAAGGUAUUAUAAGCCUUCAAUUCAACAUUCAUUGCAUAGUUCAGUAUUCAGAUAGAAGAACUCAGUGUUGGGGAAAAGAUCAUGGAGCUUGAGAAACUGAUUCCAUUAAACUCUUGCUCUUAGUGAAUAAGAUGUUGCAGGGAAAUAAGUACCUAAUAUCAAUCCCAACUUCCUCAUCCAAUACAACUUUUGCUGUUGAAACUGAAACACUUUCUGCAUUAUAAUGACUGUACUUCUUUACAUCAUUAAAUAAAUACAAAACUAUA